AUGGUUUUACAUAUUUUUUUGGGUGCAGAAGAGGGGUGUUUAGGUAAGAAGUCAUCAGGUCAUCCUUAUUAUCAAACCAAGUUUUUGAAUUUCUGUUGUAAUCUUGGUUAUAGGGAGUGUCUUUAUAUAAGAACACUUUUAAAAUGUUGCCUAAAUUUGAGUUUCAGAACACUGUACUUUUCUCAGCUAGCAGUUUUGGCUUUUGUUGGUUACUCAUUCAAGCUAUUGGGAAACCCAAACCAUCUCUGGAUAUCAGAAACUGCAUGUUCUAGAAGGAGUUAGGACUUUUCAUGGGUGAAGAGAAUCUGGUAAAAGGCAUUGGCUGCAGGAAAAGAGAGAUGGCCAGAAACUGCCUGUCAUUCUCUUGGUGCUCACAUCUUCAACUUGGUAACGCAGUUCUCAGAUAAGAAUUUAUCUGAAUUGUUCAGUGUGAUAUAAGAUACUUGUUUAUAGUGUUUGUUUUGUCUUUUUUUUGUGCUUUCCAUGUAUCUUUUCAUGCAGUCCUCAAAAGGAACCUGGCUUUAUCUUUAUUUUACAGGUUAGGAAACUGAUGAUCCAAGUAAGUUAGGUAACUGGCUUACGUUACAUAGUUUGUAAGUGAAGAGCCACUAUAUGAACUCAGAAAAAAUUCAUAGGGACUGGCUCCAGAGCCCUCCCUCAUUUUCCUCAUCUGUAAAUAGUAAUACAACUCCUGCUUUACACAGCUGUGAAUAUUAAUAGAGCUAAUGCAAAAAGGUACCUCCAACAAUGCUUGGCACCUAGUAGGUACCCAAUAAUUGAUAGCUGCUAUUAGUAACAAUUUCUCUUAAUAACUAUCAUAAUGCUAAGAGGAUAUUUAGUAUUUUUAUUUUAAGCCCUGUUGUAUUUUCUUUAUUAAACCAGUCAAAAAGAGGGGGGAGGUAUGAAACUGGAAUAAGGAUGGAAGUUGAAGUAUUACAAAUUGCCAUAUUGACCCUCAUUACCUUUAAGUCAUAUUAGUGAAUCUUCAAGUAUUUUCACGUGUAAAAAGGGGGAAAUCGAGCAGUAUCUUGAAGUAGGGCUGUCCUUCAUGUUUGCCACUCUUCCCCUUAUUUUAAUUUUCAUCCUGUACUCUCAGAGAUCAGAAGGGCUGAACUCAAUAAGCAAACUAUCUUUGGAACCUACAUACCUGGGUGGCCCUAAGCUUUUCUUUUUAAUGGCAGCUCCAAAUGCCAUAAAAUUCAAAUUUUUGUUUUUCUUAAAUGUAGAAUAUCGCAAGAUACAAAAUAAUCCAUAAACUGUGUGCUUUAGUCACAGAAAAUCAUUGUUAGGUGUUUUUUUUUUAAUGUAUUUCUGUAAUUCUACAGAUUUUUCAGUGAUUUGGAAGAAUGAAAAAUUGAAAGUCUACAUUGGUGACAUGAAGAUUGAGGGCCUUUGUUACAAGUUAGGAACUGAACUACUAAGGAAAUUAUGUUUUACCUACACAUUUUUUCUCAUUGAUCCUCUUCUGUUGGAAGUUAAAACUUUAGAAAUGAUUUUUUAUCCUACCAAUCAUUUCUACUAUUUUUGGUUAUUCUUUUUUUUUUCCUGCUUCUUAGAUAAGGACAGGAAGCAUCCAUAACUUCAUUUUUGGGAAUUUUUGUUUGCAUGUCAUCCAGGAAAAAAUUUACACACUUAUUUCUAAACAUUUUAAAAAUAAAUUCAUAUACAUGUAAUUUUUAAAUUUUUUUUCCACUAAAGCCCUCAAAUUUUGAACCUAAAAUAAGUACUUUCCACAGGAGCCCUGGGUUGAGUUUAGGAUGCAAUAACGUUACAUUAUUUUUUACUCUUCUNNNNNNNNNNNNNNNNNNNNNNNNNNNNNNNNNNNNNNNNNNNNNNNNNNNNNNNNNNNNNNNNNNNNNNNNNNNNNNNNNNNNNNNNNNNNNNNNNNNUGGGUUGAGUUUAGGAUGCAAUAACGUUACAUUAUUUUUUACUCUUCUUUAAAUAUCUUUAUAUUUCUGAGGGUUGGACUUUGUUUCUUUUGCAGGUAAGUUGGCCACCUCUGUAACAUCAGAUGUUCCAGAUUAAGAAAAAAAAAACAUGAAUAAUAAUUUUUAAAAAUGAAUAAGCCUGCUUUUUCCCCAUCUAAAGAAAGCCCCUCUAAGUAAGCAGCUAUGACACGCGUGCCUCAGGAGUGCGGAUAUUACUGCUAUGUGAAACAUGCUGAUUAAAAUCCUUGUUUCUGUCUCAGGCUGCAGAUUUUUCACACAGUUUGAAGUAACAGUAAUGCUAAGAACACUUAAUUAAAAGCGCUUGAUGUGGUCUGCUACUGUUUCAAGUACCUCAGGUGCUUUAGUGCAUUAAGUAGCCCUUUAUUUUACCGUCUUUACCCAUCACUUGAGCAAAAGCUGUAUGCGCAAUGUGUGUAUUGCGGAAGGGUGCUAAGUUUUGUGGGCCAGUGCUUGAGUAAACAAUAUCUAACAGAAAACAGUAUUUUCUAGGAAUGCUGUACAUUCACCUAAGCCCUAGCUUCUCGCCCUGCCCAGGCAAAGAAAUCAUAAAGAGGGAGGGAGAGACCAACAGCUUGAAUUAAAACUAAUUAGACUUGGGGGUGGUGGGGUGGUGAGGAGGGGUGGGGGUGGUAGUGAAUGAAUCACUUCCAGGAGCAUUGGAAAGGGAAAUAUAGAAAUUUGGAGUCGUGUCUCUAAAACAUGUAAACGGAUUCGCCUCGGUCUCUCUCUCCUCCACUGCAUCUUACACUGAUUUCAUGGUCUCCUCUUUGCUGAACGAGCUCAAGUAACCCGGGAGCACGCGCUGAUCUCCCGUGGUGGGCUUCGGGCCGACACCUGGGACAGCACCUGGGCUGCAUUUCCUCGCCUGCCAGUGGUUUCCUCCGCGCUAGGCGUCCCGCUCAGCGGCGGCUUCCCAUUCAUGCUUUUGACAGCCGCGCGGCCGCUCGCGAGCUGAGAGCGAAGAGCUCCUUGAAUCCGCCCCUGCUCUCUGGAUUGCACCCGGGCGGGAAGGCCCGACAGCUACGCCGCCCGCUGGUGCCCCGGGGCCGGCCGGCCGGCUGGUUCCUCCAUAGGUGGCUGCGUUUCCGACUUCGCCCUGGCUCCACUCCGGGGGCUUGACGUGCAAACUUCGCCCGAGAGAGCUGAGAGGGAGGGACCGGCGAGGGGGAGGAGGCGGCGGGAGGCGCCUCCGCUUAAGGGAGCCGGCCGGGCGCCGCCGCUCGGACGGACGCGCGGACGGA
RNAcentral lists this long non-coding RNA (3190 nucleotides) under Capra hircus (goat). Its description in RNAcentral is "lncRNA (ENSCHIG00010017318.1)". The record is from RNAcentral. Lineage: Eukaryota; Metazoa; Chordata; Mammalia; Artiodactyla; Bovidae.